GACGAACGCUGGCGGCGUGCUUAACACAUGCAAGUCGAACGGAAAGGCCCUGCUUGCAGGGUGCUCGAGUGGCGAACGGGUGAGUAACACGUGGGUGAUCUGCCCCUUACUUUGGGAUAAGCCUGGGAAACUGGGUCUAAUACUGGAUAGGACCAUGCUGUAGGUGGUGAGGUGGAAAGAUUAGUUUCGGUAAGGGAUGAGCUCGCGGCCUAUCAGCUUGUUGGUGGGGUAAUGGCCUACCAAGGCGUCGACGGGUAGCCGGCCUGAGAGGGUGGACGGCCACAUUGGGACUGAGAUACGGCCCAGACUCCUACGGGAGGCAGCAGUGGGGAAUAUUGCACAAUGGGCGCAAGCCUGAUGCAGCGACGCCGCGUGGGGGAUGACGGCCUUCGGGUUGUAAACUCCUUUCAGCCAUGACGAAGCCCUUGUGGUGACGGUAGUGGUAGAAGAAGCACCGGCUAACUACGUG
RNAcentral lists this ribosomal RNA (469 nucleotides) under uncultured bacterium. RNAcentral's name for it is "partial 16S ribosomal RNA". It matches the Rfam family "Bacterial small subunit ribosomal RNA", at positions 28 to 507 of the family's 1533-position model. The record is from RNAcentral.